UCGAACGCGAAAAGGGCUUCGGCUCUUAGUAGAGUGGCGAACGGGUGAGUAACACGUGGGUGACCUACCUUCGAAUGGGGGAUAACGUCCCGAAAGGGACGCUAAUACCGCAUAACAUCCUGCUUUUGAACAGGUGGAGAUCAAAGCCGGGGAUCGCAAGACCUGGCGUUUGAAGAGGGGCCCGCGUCUGAUUAGCUAGUUGGUGAGGUAACGGCCCACCAAGGCGACGAUCAGUAUCCGGCCUGAGAGGGCGGACGGACACACUGGGACUGAGACACGGCCCAGACUCCUACGGGAGGCAGCAGUGGGGAAUUGUUCGCAAUGGGCGCAAGCCUGACGACGCAACGCCGCGUGGAGGAUGAAGGUCUUCGGAUCGUAAACUCCUGUUGCUCGGGACGAAAAGCUUCGACCUAACACGUCGAAGUCUGACGGUACCGGGUGAGGAAGCCCCGGCUAACUCUGUGCCAGCAGCCGCGGUAAUACAGAGGGGGCAAGCGUUGUUCGGAAUUACUGGGCGUAAAGGGCGCGUAGGCGGCCCGCUAAGUCGAACGUGAAAUCCCCGGGUUCAACCCGGGAACUGCGUCCGAUACUGGCAGGCUUGAAUCCGGGAGAGGGAUGCGGAAUUCCAGGUGUAGCGGUGAAAUGCGUAGAUAUCUGGAGGAACACCGGUGGCGAAGGCGGCAUCCUGGACCGGUAUUGACGCUGAGGCGCGAAAGCCAGGGGAGCAA
Molecule: ribosomal RNA, 728 nt
Filed under: uncultured bacterium
Lineage: Bacteria
Description: bacterial SSU rRNA
Rfam family: Bacterial small subunit ribosomal RNA
Source: RNAcentral